GUCCUACGGGAGGCAGCAGUGGGGGAUAUUGGACAAUGGGGGAAACCCUGAUCCAGCGAUGCCGCGUGAGGGAAGAAGGUACAGCGUAUCGUAAACCUCUUUUGUCAGGGAACAAAGGCGGGGACUAGUCCCCGGAUGAGGGUACCUGAAGAAAAAGCAUCGGCUAACUCCGUGCCAGCAGCCGCGGUAAUACGGAGGAUGCGAGCGUUAUCCGGAUUUAUUGGGUUUAAAGGGUGCGCAGGCGGCCUGUUAAGUCAGCGGUAAAAGCCCGGGGCUCAACCCCGGCGAGCCGUUGAAACUGGCGG
RNAcentral lists this ribosomal RNA (305 nucleotides) under uncultured bacterium. Its description in RNAcentral is "bacterial SSU rRNA". It matches the Rfam family "Bacterial small subunit ribosomal RNA", at positions 335 to 639 of the family's 1533-position model. The record is from RNAcentral.